AGGGUCCUAUGUUGUUCGUAAUAACUUAAUGUUUGAACCAACACUUUAACGUCGGGAGCCUGGAUGUUUCGUUUUUAAUAACAUGCCUUGCAGUUAAAAAGACAAGGACGUUAGAAGAGAUGAACAAGGCACCCACCUGCCAAUAGCAGGUUCAAAUCUCCUAUAACGGCAAACACGGGACUCUU
RNAcentral lists this non-coding RNA (185 nucleotides) under Salipaludibacillus agaradhaerens. RNAcentral describes it as "6S RNA". It matches the Rfam family "6S / SsrS RNA". From Rfam's summary of the family: E. coli 6S RNA was the first non coding RNA to be sequenced, but its function was unknown until recently. It consists of 184 nucleotides that fold into an extended hairpin structure with a large single-stranded internal bulge. Lineage: Bacteria; Bacillati; Bacillota; Bacilli; Caryophanales; Bacillaceae. RNAcentral also lists the same sequence under 1 other name. The record is from RNAcentral.